RNAcentral lists this transfer RNA (94 nucleotides) under Candidatus Bathyarchaeota archaeon. RNAcentral's name for it is "tRNA-His". RNAcentral also lists the same sequence under 2 other names. The record is from RNAcentral. Lineage: Archaea; Thermoproteati; Candidatus Bathyarchaeota.
GCCGCCGUAACGUAGAGAAGCCUAUGGCUCGCGGAUCCUGGAAGCGUACAGGCCUGUGGAGCCUGGAGGCCGGGUUCAAAUCCCGGCGGCGGCC